AUUGAACGCUGGCGGCAUGCUUUACACAUGCAAGUCGAACGGUAACAGGGAGCUUGCUCCGCUGACGAGUGGCGAACGGGUGAGUAAUGCAUCGGAACGUGCCGUGUAAUGGGGGAUAACGUAGCGAAAGUUACGCUAAUACCGCAUACGCCCUGAGGUGGAAAGCAGGGGAUCGCAAGACCUUGCGCUAUACGAGCGGCCGAUGUCAGAUUAGCUAGUUGGUAGGGUAAAGGCCUACCAAGGCGACGAUCUGUAGCGGGUCUGAGAGGAUGAUCCGCCACACUGGGACUGAGACACGGCCCAGACUCCUACGGGAGGCAGCAGUGGGGAAUUUUGGACAAUGGGGGAAACCCUGAUCCAGCCAUGCCGCGUGAGUGAAGAAGGCCUUCGGGUUGUAAAGCUCUUUCGGCUGGGAAGAAAUCGCACAGGCUAAUACUCUGUGUGGAUGACGGUACCAGCACAAGAAGCACCGGCUAACUACGUG
Molecule: ribosomal RNA, 484 nt
Filed under: uncultured bacterium
Lineage: Bacteria
Description: bacterial SSU rRNA
Rfam family: Bacterial small subunit ribosomal RNA
Source: RNAcentral